GGGUUGUGAGGUUAAGCGACUAAGCGUACACGGUGGAUGCCCUGGCAGUCAGAGGCGAUGAAGGGCGUGCUAAUCUGCGAUAAGCGCCGGUAAGGUGAUAUGAACCGUUAUAACCGGCGAUACCCGAAUGGGGAAACCCAGUGUGUUUCGACACACUAUCAUUAACUGAAUCCAUAGGUUAAUGAGGCGAACCGGGGGAACUGAAACAUCUAAGUACCCCGAGGAAAAGAAAUCAACCGAGAUUCCCCCAGUAGCGGCGAGCGAACGGGGAGGAGCCCAGAGCCUGAAUCAGCAUGUGUGUUAGUGGAAGCGUCUGGAAAGGCGCGCGAUACAGGGUGACAGCCCCGUACACAAAAGCGCAUGUGCUGUGAGCUCGAUGAGUAGGGCGGGACACGUGGUAUCCUGUCUGAAUAUGGGGGGACCAUCCUCCAAGGCUAAAUACUCCUGACUGACCGAUAGUGAACCAGUACCGUGAGGGAAAGGCGAAAAGAACCCCGGCGAGGGGAGUGAAAAAGAACCUGAAACCGUGUACGUACAAGCAGUGGGAGCACCCUUUGGGGUGUGACUGCGUACCUUUUGUAUAAUGGGUCAGCGACUUAUAUUCUGUAGCAAGGUUAACCG
RNAcentral lists this ribosomal RNA (621 nucleotides) under Salmonella enterica subsp. enterica serovar Reading. RNAcentral describes it as "partial 23S ribosomal RNA". It matches the Rfam family "Bacterial large subunit ribosomal RNA", at positions 1 to 652 of the family's 2925-position model. Lineage: Bacteria; Pseudomonadati; Pseudomonadota; Gammaproteobacteria; Enterobacterales; Enterobacteriaceae. The record is from RNAcentral.